This 377-nucleotide ribosomal RNA is filed under the name uncultured bacterium. Its description in RNAcentral is "bacterial SSU rRNA". It matches the Rfam family "Bacterial small subunit ribosomal RNA", at positions 523 to 898 of the family's 1533-position model. The record is from RNAcentral.
ACACAUAGGGGGCGAGCGUUAUCCGGAAUUACUGGGCGUAAAGCGCGUGCAGGCGGUGGUGCAAGUUGGGCGUAAAAUCUCCCGGCUCAACUGGGAGGGGUCGUUCAAUACUGCAUCACUUGAGUGCAGGAGAGGGAAGCGGAAUUCCCGGUGUAGCGGUAAUAUGCGCAGAUAUCGGGAGGAACACCCGUGGCGAAGGCGGCUUCCUGGCCUGUAACUGACGCUCAGACGCGAAAGCUAGGGUAGCGAACGGGAUUAGAUACCCCGGUAGUCCUAGCUGUAAACGAUGGAUACUAGGUGUGGGAGGUAUAGACUCCUCCCGUGCCGAAGCUAACGCGUUAAGUAUCCCGCCUGGGGACUACGGCCGCAAGGCUAAA